Molecule: non-coding RNA, 1960 nt
Filed under: Cryptosporidium parvum
Lineage: Eukaryota; Apicomplexa; Conoidasida; Eucoccidiorida; Cryptosporidiidae
Source: RNAcentral
UUAUUAUAGAAAUGAAAGCUCAAAAGCUACUAAAAUCUACAACCUACAUCCUACAAAGAAAAGUUAAGAUAGCUUACAGAAUCCAUUAGAAUAUGAGUCAUACCAAAGGGGAUUUUGCCAUGUGUCAAUGCAAGAAAUUGAUGAGGAAUCAAAGUCCCAGGAAUUACAAUCAUUUUGACUUGAGCUUUCAUCUUCUUGCUGAACUUCUGCAGAGUAUACAGUUGGAAGGGUACAAGAUACAGAUGAAUUAAAGAACUUUGAACCAACUGAAUAAUGAGGGACAGAGGUCGAAGCUUCAGAGCUUAUUGGAUUUUUAUCUGUUGUUGGAAUACAAAACAUAUCAAUGUUUAAAUAAUCACAAUUCCAUGACUCUGUAGCAACCAAGUGCUUGUUAAAGAUUGUAUAAUUCACUUGAUCAUGUUCUAUUUGCUCGUUAUUCUGAGACAAGGUAUUAUGGGUGUCCUGAUCCAAUUGGAAGGAUGACAGCGUUUCCGCCUUUUCCUCAUUUUCCGUACUAUUGGAAUUUCCAACACAAGAACUCAACCCUACCGAAGAUUGUACGGUCGUCUCUUCGCUCCAUCGGCUUGUUUCAGUGUUAGAAUAAAAGUAUGUCCCAGAAGAAAUAUACAUUGUUUUGUUUGGAUCUUCUAAAAAUGGUCCAUCAUAGGUUGAGAAAGACUGGCAUGGAGAGGAGGUAUAAGAAGAAAUAUUACAGUAAUUUGUGUUAGGCGAAACUGUGGUAGAUGCUUGAUGAUGGACAGGCGUUGAAACAGAAAACUUAUUACCAGAAACCAUGCUAUUCCUGCUAUCCGAACACUUUCUGGAUAACACACUAUUGCUCAAUUUACCUCCAAUCCGACUUGGAUAUGAGUCAAUACUUGAACUUUGCGUUGGACUUUGGUGUAUACUAUUUAUAGGGCUUUCCUCUGCAUUACUUACAACAUUCAGUUUUAAGCAAUUUCCUCCAUAAGAUUCUUCGAUACCUACCAUUAUAUUGUUUUCGCCAGUGUUCAAACCGCAAUUAACAUCGAAUGAAAGUUGCUCACUGAUUGAAAAGUUUUCUGCAAAGCUGUGCCUUUCAUCUACAUGAGUUUCGGUUAAUUUGUUACCAUCAAUAAAAAUAUUUUGAGCACAGUGAUUGUUUAUUUCUAACAGCGAGCUUUUUGAACUGCUAUUUUUGUAAUUCAUUCCGGUUGUAUUGGCCUGGCUGCAUACAUCAAUUGAAGGUUUAUCAAUAGAAAUAUUACUAUAACCGCAAUGUAAUCCUACCUCGCUUGAGCCAGAAACUAACUUCCCUGAUCCUUCUGGAAUAUCAUUGGUAACUGUAUUCGUUAAUGAAAUGCCUUGAAACCCAAUUAUUGAAGAACAAUAACAUCGCUGAUUAUUACCGCAUGUUUGGCAAUCAAAUGUAGAGUUAGAACAAGCUAGAUUCGAACUCGCCGAGUAAGGUGAUGACCUAAAUGAGAUUGGUUUGAUGCAUUGGCCAUUAUUAAUCGCCGCAUUAAGAUUACAACUUGCUGGAUCAUUUUUCAAGUUAUCAUUGGGAACAUAAGCGUUCAAAUUUUCAGUAAGGUCAUGAGAGAUAGCUUUACGGUCUUUGUUAACUGCAUUAUUCAUUAUUGAAACAUUUCUACCGUUUGCCACUAAAUUUUUACCAACAAUUCCACUUAUUUUAUAUCCCACUCCGCCCAUUCCUCUUGAAUAACUUUGCCUUUGAGAAUCAUAAUUUUCCUUAUUCAUUCCUAUUUUUUGUGUUUUUAAUAGCCCAAUAGUUGAACAAUUCAAAUUAUUGUUCAUACCUAUCUGUAAAGGUAAACAUUUACCAUCACGUUUUUUUCUUUGCUUCAUCCAACAAGCAUUACAGACCCUUAACUUUGAUUCGACCGAACAUACCGAAAUAUAUCUCCACUGAGGAGUUUUUGUAGCAGAGCAAAUCUGACAAAAGUAAUCAGACCUGUCU